GCGCGGCCUCCGCUGAGUCCGGCACCCCUGUGGCAGCCGGAGCCGGGGACCCACCGACCUUGGGGUGAAUCGGCCAACUCCCUUUCGGGGAACAGGCUGUAGGGCAACCCUUCCGAACCACCCGCCCGAACCCGACAGCUAACUCGGUAGGCGGAACAUGGAAGGAGUC
Molecule: small RNA, 169 nt
Filed under: Streptomyces sp.
Lineage: Bacteria; Bacillati; Actinomycetota; Actinomycetes; Kitasatosporales; Streptomycetaceae
Description: c-di-AMP sequence
Rfam family: c-di-AMP riboswitch aptamer (ydaO/yuaA leader)
About the family: This family represents a conserved RNA structure found upstream of the ydaO and yuaA genes in Bacillus subtilis and related genes in other bacteria. The ydaO/yuaA element is thought to act as a genetic "off" switch for the ydaO and yuaA genes in its native state.
Source: RNAcentral